Molecule: long non-coding RNA, 504 nt
Organism: Oncorhynchus tshawytscha (Chinook salmon)
Lineage: Eukaryota; Metazoa; Chordata; Actinopteri; Salmoniformes; Salmonidae
Source: Ensembl
CUGGUCAACAGGAUUAUAUACAGACUAGACUGGUCAACAGGUUUUUACAGACUAAACUGGUCAACAUGUUUACACAGACUAAACUGGUCAACAGGUUUUUACACAGACUAAACUGGUCAACAGGUUUCCAUAAAGACUGGUCAACAGGUUUUUAUACAGACUAAACUGGUCAACAGGUUUUUACACAGACUAAACUGGUCAACAGGUUUUUACACAGACUAAACUGGUCAACAGGUUUCUACACAUACUAAACUGGUCAACAUGUUUCCAUAAAGACUGGUCAACAGGUUUCUACACAUACUAAACUGGUCAACAUGUUUCCAUAAAGACUGGUCAACAGGUUUUUACACAGACUAAACUGGUCAACAGGUUUUUACACAGACUAAACUGGUCAACAGGUUUUUAAACAGACUAAACUGGUCAACAGGUUUCCAUAAAGACUGGUCAACAGGUUUUUACACAGACUAAACUGGUCAACAGGUUUCCAUAAAGACUGGUCAACAG